Molecule: long non-coding RNA, 249 nt
Organism: Hyaena hyaena (striped hyena)
Lineage: Eukaryota; Metazoa; Chordata; Mammalia; Carnivora; Hyaenidae
Exons: 3
Source: RefSeq, a predicted model, not a curated record
ACUUUAUCUCCACGCUCCCCUCCUCCCUCACUGACCAGUCUACCUCUGACCAUCGUGCCCGUGAUACUGCCAGAUCCAUCUCCUGAACCACAGCUCCGGCAGCCCCCAACGCUGUUCCAAGCGCUGCAUGUUAUCCAACCCACUUAACCUUCAACAACAAGUCCAUGAAGUAGGUGCUUCAUUUUACAGGGCCUCAAAUGAAGGACACCUCUUCCAGAAGUCCGCCCUGCUCUCCACAAUGAGAAGCAC